UUGAUAGAAACCAAAAAGAGGUAUAUCACUGUUAAUGAUAAAAUUGAAUUAUUUUCCUAUCAAG
This 64-nucleotide transfer RNA is filed under the name Ocypode cordimanus. Its description in RNAcentral is "tRNA-Asn". Lineage: Eukaryota; Metazoa; Arthropoda; Malacostraca; Decapoda; Ocypodidae. The record is from RNAcentral.